UCGAACGAUGAAGCCCAGCUUGCUGGGUGGAUUAGUGGCGAACGGGUGAGUAACACGUGAGUAACCUGCCCUUAACUCUGGGAUAAGCCUGGGAAACUGGGUCUAAUACCGGAUAGGAGCGCCUACCGCAUGGUGGGUGUUGGAAAGAUUUAUCGGUUUUGGAUGGACUCGCGGCCUAUCAGCUUGUUGGUGAGGUAAUGGCUCACCAAGGCGACGACGGGUAGCCGGCCUGAGAGGGUGACCGGCCACACUGGGACUGAAACACGGCCCAGACUCCUA
RNAcentral lists this ribosomal RNA (279 nucleotides) under marine sediment bacterium BB0608_2216_8.1_3S0. RNAcentral describes it as "partial 16S ribosomal RNA". It matches the Rfam family "Bacterial small subunit ribosomal RNA", at positions 62 to 341 of the family's 1533-position model. The record is from RNAcentral.